This 341-nucleotide unclassified non-coding RNA is filed under the name soil metagenome. RNAcentral describes it as "partial contains 5.8S ribosomal RNA, internal transcribed spacer 2, and large subunit ribosomal RNA". The stretch from base 1 to 120 matches the Rfam family "5.8S ribosomal RNA", at positions 35 to 154 of the family's 154-position model. The record is from RNAcentral.
GAUGAAGAACGUAGCGAAAUGCGAUAAGUAAUGUGAAUUGCAGAAUUCAGUGAAUCAUCGAAUCUUUGAACGCACAUUGCGCCCGCCAGCAUUCUGGCGGGCAUGCCUGUUCGAGCGUCAUUUCAACCCUCGAGCCCCCCCGGGGGCCUCGGUGUUGGGGGACGGCACACCAGCCGCCCCCGAAAUGCAGUGGCGACCUCGCCGCAGCCUCCCCUGCGUAGUAGCACACACCUCGCACCGGAGCGCGGAGACGGUCACGCCGUAAAACGCCCAACUUCUUAGAGUUGACCUCGGAUCAGGUAGGAAUACCCGCUGAACUUAAGCAUAUCAAUAAGCGGAGG